UGGGGAAUAUUGGACAAUGGGGGCAACCCUGAUCCAGCCAUGCCGCGUGUGUGAAGAAGGCCUUUUGGUUGUAAAGCACUUUAAGCAGGGAGGAGAGGCUAAUGGUUAAUACCCAUUAGAUUAGACGUUACCUGCAGAAUAAGCACCGGCUAACUCUGUGCCAGCAGCCGCGGUAAUACAGAGGGUGCGAGCGUUAAUCGGAAUUACUGGGCGUAAAGCGAGUGUAGGUGGCUCAUUAAGUCACAUGUGAAAUCCCCGGGCUUAACCUGGGAACUGCAUGUGAUACUGGUGGUGCUAGAAUAUGUGAGAGGGAAGUAGAAUUCCCAGGUGUAGCGGUGAAAUGCGUAGAGAUCUGGAGGAAUACCGAUGGCGAAGGCAGCUUCCUGGCAUAAUAUUGACACUGAGAUUCGAAAGCGUGGGUAGCAAACAGGAUUAGAUACCCUGGUAGUCCACGCCGUAAACGAUGUCUACUAGCCGUUGGGGUCCUUGAGACUUUAGUGGCGCAGUUAACGCGAUAAGUAGACCGCCUGGGGAGUACGGCCGCAAGGUUAAAACUUAAAUGAAUUGACGGGUCU
Molecule: ribosomal RNA, 575 nt
Filed under: uncultured bacterium
Lineage: Bacteria
Description: partial 16S ribosomal RNA
Rfam family: Bacterial small subunit ribosomal RNA
Source: RNAcentral